AUUGAACGCUGGCGGAAUGCUUUACACAUGCAAGUCGAACGGCAGCACGGGUGCUUGCACCUGGUGGCGAGUGGCGAACGGGUGAGUAAUACAUCGGAACGUACCCUGACGUGGGGGAUAACGUAGCGAAAGUUACGCUAAUACCGCAUACGUCCUGAGGGAGAAAGCAGGGGAUCGUAAGACCUUGCGCGUUAGGAGCGGCCGAUGGCGGAUUAGCUAGUUGGUAGGGUAAAGGCCUACCAAGGCGACGAUCCGUAGCGGGUCUGAGAGGACGACCCGCCACACUGGAACUGAGAAACGGUCCAGACUCCUACGGGAGGCAGCAGUGGGGAAUUUUGGACAAUGGGCGAAAGCCUGAUCCAGCCAUUCCGCGUGAGUGAAGAAGGCCUUCGGGUUGUAAGGCUCUUUCGGCAGGGAAGAAACGGUUUUGGAUAAUACCCAGAACUAAUGACGGUACCUGAAGAAGAAGCACCGGCUAACUACGUGCCAGCAGCCGCCGCCG
RNAcentral lists this ribosomal RNA (502 nucleotides) under uncultured bacterium. RNAcentral's name for it is "partial 16S ribosomal RNA". It matches the Rfam family "Bacterial small subunit ribosomal RNA", at positions 29 to 523 of the family's 1533-position model. The record is from RNAcentral.